ACCAUAUCACAUUGAAACAUUAGUUCUCAUACAAUCACUAAAGUUAAGUAAUGUCAAGCCUGGUCAGUACCUAGAUGGGUGACCGCUUAGGAAUAUCAGGUGCUGUAAGC
This is a non-coding RNA of Acanthosepion pharaonis, 110 nucleotides long. The record is from the annotation of a GenBank genome assembly. Lineage: Eukaryota; Metazoa; Mollusca; Cephalopoda; Sepiida; Sepiidae.